This 454-nucleotide ribosomal RNA is filed under the name uncultured Prevotella sp. RNAcentral's name for it is "partial 16S ribosomal RNA". It matches the Rfam family "Bacterial small subunit ribosomal RNA", at positions 341 to 792 of the family's 1533-position model. Lineage: Bacteria; Pseudomonadati; Bacteroidota; Bacteroidia; Bacteroidales; Prevotellaceae. The record is from RNAcentral.
ACGGGAGGCAGCAGUGAGGAAUAUUGGUCAAUGGGCGGAAGCCUGAACUAGCCAAGUAGCGUGCAGGAUGACGGCCCUAUGGGUUGUAAACUGCUUUUGUCAGGGAGUAAAAAGGAUUACGUGUAAUCCAUUGCAUGUACCUGAAGAAUAAGGACCGGCUAAUUCCGUGCCAGCAGCCGCGGUAAUACGGAAGGUCCGGGCGUUAUCCGGAUUUAUUGGGUUUAAAGGGAGCGCAGGCGGCCUUUUAAGCCUGUUGUGAAAUGUAGUGGCUCAACCUCUGCACUGCAGCGCGAACUGGAGGGCUUGAGUACGCGGGAGGUAGGCGGAAUUCGUCGUGUAGCGGUGAAAUGCUUAGAUAUGGCGAAGAACACCGAUUGCGAAGGCAGCCUACUGUAGCGUUACUGACGCUAAAGCUCGAAAGUGUGGGUAUCGAACAGGCUUAGAUACCCUGGUA